This 483-nucleotide ribosomal RNA is filed under the name uncultured bacterium. RNAcentral's name for it is "partial 16S ribosomal RNA". It matches the Rfam family "Bacterial small subunit ribosomal RNA", at positions 30 to 506 of the family's 1533-position model. The record is from RNAcentral.
AUUGAACGCUGGCGGCAGGCCUAACACAUGCAAGUCGAGCGGAUGAAGGGAGCUUGCUCCUGGAUUCAGCGGCGGACGGGUGAGUAAUGCCUAGGAAUCUGCCUGGUAGUGGGGGAUAACGUCCGGAAACGGGCGCUAAUACCGCAUACGUCCUGAGGGAGAAAGUGGGGGAUCUUCGGACCUCACGCUAUCAGAUGAGCCUAGGUCGGAUUAGCUAGUUGGUGGGGUAAAGGCCUACCAAGGCGACGAUCCGUAACUGGUCUGAGAGGAUGAUCAGUCACACUGGAACUGAGACACGGUCCAGACUCCUACGGGAGGCAGCAGUGGGGAAUAUUGGACAAUGGGCGAAAGCCUGAUCCAGCCAUGCCGCGUGUGUGAAGAAGGUCUUCGGAUUGUAAAGCACUUUAAGUUGGGAGGAAGGGAAGUAAGUUAAUACCUUGCUGUUUGGACGUUACCAACAGAAUAAGCACCGGCUAACUUCGU